UUUGACAGUGAUGAAUCAAUGCAGACCUGUAAUGAUUUGUCAACUUGAUCGCAACUUAUUAUGAACAUCUAAGGGACUGAGUCAAA
Erigeron canadensis is the source of this 86-nucleotide small nucleolar RNA. RefSeq annotates it as small nucleolar RNA SNORD25. Lineage: Eukaryota; Viridiplantae; Streptophyta; Magnoliopsida; Asterales; Asteraceae. The transcript has a single exon. The record is from RefSeq and is a predicted model, not a curated record.